CAAAUUAAUAAGUAAUUGGAAAAAAAGAAAUCUUACAAUGAUAGGUAAAAUAACAGUUGUAAAAUCUCUUCUUAUACCAAACCUUACAUAUUUAGCUUCAGUCACAAACCUACCACAUGAAUUCAUUCAACAGUUUAAAACUCUUAUCUACAAUUUUAUAUGGGAUGGUAAACGAGAAAAAGUCAAACGAACCACACUAAGCAAAAAUACUACUGAGGGAGGGCUUAAGAUGAC
Molecule: long non-coding RNA, 234 nt
Filed under: Mytilus galloprovincialis (Mediterranean mussel)
Lineage: Eukaryota; Metazoa; Mollusca; Bivalvia; Mytilida; Mytilidae
Source: RNAcentral